GCGAAGGCAGCGUACCGGCGCCACACUGACGCUGAGGCACGAAAGCGUGGGGAUCGAACAGGAUUAGAUACCCUGGUAGUCCACGCAGUAAACGAUGAAUGCUGGUUGUCCGGGUCGAAUGAGAUCUGGGCGGCGAAGCGAAAGCGAUAAGCAUUCCACCUGGGGAGUACGCCGGCAACGGUGAAACUCAAAGGAAUUGACGGGGGCCCGCACAAGCGGAGGAACAUGUGGUUUAAUUCGAUGAUACGCGAGGAACCUUACCCGGGCUCAAACGGGAGCGGAAUGGACCAGAGACGGUUCAGCCUACGGGCCGCUUCCGAGGUGCUGCAUGGUUGUCGUCAGCUCGUGCCGUGAGGUGUCGGCUUAAGUGCCAUAACGAGCGCAACCCCCGCCGGCAGUUGCUAACGGGCAAUGCCGAGGACUCUGCCGGGACUGCCGCCGCAAGGCGAGAGGAAGGCGGGGAUGACGUCAAAUCAGCACGGCCCUUACGUCCGGGGCGACACACGUGUUACAAUGGGCGGUACAGCGGGAAGCCAGGCGGCGACGCCGAGCGGAACCCGAAAGCCGUUCUCAGUUCGGAUCGGAGUCUGCAACCCGACUCCGUGAAGCUGGAUUCGCUAGUAAUCGCGCAUCAGCCAUGGCGCGGUGAAUACGUUCCCGGGCCUUGUACACACCGCCCGUCAAGCCAUGGGAGCCGGGGGUGCUUGAAGUGCGUCGCCGCGAGGCGCGCCCUAGAGCAAAACCGGUGACUGGGGCUAAGUCGUAACAAGGUAACCGUAA
RNAcentral lists this ribosomal RNA (780 nucleotides) under uncultured bacterium. RNAcentral's name for it is "bacterial SSU rRNA". It matches the Rfam family "Bacterial small subunit ribosomal RNA", at positions 715 to 1505 of the family's 1533-position model. The record is from RNAcentral.